CUUCAGGUGGCGGCCUUUCCUCCGCCCGGCGGUUCUUCUUCUCAUGGCGAAAGAGAAUUUCAAGAGUGAUCGGAGCUUCACCUGGCUCACGAGGGCCGGAGCCUCCUACUGCCGGCUUCCCGAACCCGACGGACCCCAUCCCAACUGACUACAUUCUCCGGCGUCCAGGACUCCCGGGGCACUGUUCUUGUGAGUUUUACUACUACGUCAAGGAGCUAUGAUAUGAUGGAGAAACUCCAGUAGCUUUGUCGUGCUGUUAAUUUGCAGGAAUUCUUGGUUCCAGUUGGAUAGUUGGAUUUUGGAAUGCUGAAUUCUAUGUGUAGCCUAUGGAAUAUAUACCCUGUAUGUUAUACGUGAUACUCCGUAUUAGAAUAUUUGAGCUGAGCUCCGGGGGACAUGGAUAACUUGAAAUGGGACUUCGUCUUGUAUCCUUAAGCCAAAAGAAGUAGUGUCACCAAUUUUAUAUAAGCCUGGUAUGAGCUGAGACCAAGAGAGUUGGAGAAUUUUAUGAACUUGAUUCUUCUCACUUUCUUUCUUGAUUUUAACACGUCCCUGUACCAAAGAAUGUGGGUGCAUAUUAUUCAUGUCAUUUACUCUUAAUGUCUUUCUUGCCAUAUGCUUUGUGUGGGUAGCUUGAUUCUUGCUUCGGUUAGUUUUUUUCUUCUCUUUCUAAUUACUCUGGUUGUAACUUGUAUCCUUGAUUUUCCAAACCGAAGUCUGUUAGUAUUCACUCAUUCUGUCAUGAAAACAUGAAGUCUACUUUGUGAACGUUUGUCUGAUAUCUAACUUGAUUAACAAACUUUGAUGAUAAUUUCUGGUGGGUUGCAUGGAAGUGCAAUGCUGCAUGCAAUCUAUAUAUAUCUUAUAGUACCAGGCAUUCACUUGUCUGUUGGCCUCUUUGACUUUGCUUAUUACUUUUAUUAUUACUUUUUAGUAACAAAAAUUAUAAAGUACUAUUUUUUUACACUGUUGUGUAUAUUUAACAUAAUUAAAAUGACCUUCAAAUCACACACGUGAAUUUUCUCUCAAA
This is a long non-coding RNA of Spinacia oleracea (spinach), 1030 nucleotides long. RefSeq lists it as uncharacterized. The record is from RefSeq and is a predicted model, not a curated record. The transcript has 3 exons. NCBI's taxonomy places the organism in Eukaryota, Viridiplantae, Streptophyta, Magnoliopsida, Caryophyllales, Amaranthaceae.